Long non-coding RNA from Clupea harengus (Atlantic herring), 1885 nucleotides. NCBI's taxonomy places the organism in Eukaryota, Metazoa, Chordata, Actinopteri, Clupeiformes, Clupeidae. The record is from Ensembl.
CGGACACGGGUCGGGCUUGGACAGAAAAAUUCGGUCUGAUCCAUGCUCUAAUGUGUGUGUGUGUGUGUGCUCUAAUGUGCAUUCAGCCCUGUUGUGUGUCAGAUUGAGGCUUUUGUGUGAGUGUGUGUGUCUCUGUGUGUGGCAUGGUGGCUCAGGUGCUUGGCUCACAGCAAGAAGGUCCUGGGUUCGAUUCCCGCAUGGGGCGCUGUUGGCUCUGGGGGGCAGGUCCUCCCCAGACCUCAUUGCUCAGGUGGGCUAUCUCCUGGGCCUUUCUGUGUGGAGUUUGCAUGUUCUCCCCGUGUUCACAAGGGGUUUCCUCCACUAAGAACCCCAACAGAAAAACAUGCAAAAGAACACUCUCCUGAUCAAGACGGACGGUUCAAGAUUGAGGUGUGUGUGUGUGUAAAAUUGAGGUGUGUGUGUGUGUGUGUAAGAUUGAGGUGUGUGUGUGUGUGUGUAAGAUUGAGGUGUGUGUGUUUGUGUGUGUAAGAUUGAGGCUUGUGUGUCAGUAGGGCAGCAGACAUAAGGACAUUAUUCUGAGAAACGCACACAAACUUGAUUAGUUGAUUAGCUGAAAUGUGAAACUUUCUGCUGACAGAAGUCUAGGGUUCACACACACACACACACCUCUUCUUAUCUGACCUCCUAUCAUUUCCUGUGGUGAAACUACGAAGCCCAGUUCAUACAAAAACAGGCACAUGAGAACACACACACCAGGGACACACACUCACACUCUCACACACACAUCCAAAGACACACACUCACACUCUCACACACACACCAGGGACACACACUCACACUCUCACACACACAUCCAAAGACACACACUCACACACUCACACACACAUCCAAAGACACACACUCACACACUCACACACACAUCAGGGACACACACUCACACUCUCACACACACAUCCAAAGACACACACUCACACACUCACACACACAUCCAAAGACACACACUCACACUCUCACACACACAUCCAAAGACACACACUCACACACACACCAGGGACACACACUCACACUCUCACACACACAUCCAAAGACACACACUCACACACUCACACACCAGGGACACACACUCACACUCUCACACACACAUCCGAAGACACACACUCACACUCUCACACACACACACCAUGGAUGGCUUUUAGACUAGUGUGUGUGUGUGUGUGUGUGUGUGUGUGUGUGUGUGUGUGUGUGGUAGAGACAGACAGUGAACAGAUAACAUGCAACAUGCUCUGAUGACUGUCAUGCUUUUGCAGAUCGUUUGUUUGGUGGCGUCAGAGCGGACGACACACACGAGGAUCAGCCUGAGGGACGCUACGCUCUGAUUGGUGCAGGGGUGGGUCUGAUUCUGGCCAUCAUGUUCGUCGCCGUGAAGCUCUGCAUGAUUAAGAGACACAUGCUGGACAACGGGUUCGUAUCAGAGGACUCAAUGAGAAAACAGUCCCUGCGGACUCAGAGCAUCCGGCUGAACAGAAGAGAAGCACCAGACCAGCCCUGAACACCAGUUUACCCCGUUUCACAUGAUUAAAUUGAAGCCGUCAUUGGCCGACGCUUGAUCAUCCCCAGCAUAAAAGGGCUGCCUCAUUGCCUCACAGAGAAGCAUGCCUGAGAGAUCGCCAUUUCGUUGGACGCAACCAUUUUUGGAUUUAGCUUUUUGUGGACAUUCGGGCCUUUGGCCAACUUGACUCUGCUGGAACGCCGCGCAGCCUCACCGUGCUGCCUGGCCCCAGCUUUUGUGGACUAGAAUGUCCUUUGUUGCAGUUUGUGUCUGCCUUACCGGCAUUUGCUUGCCCGUUUGGCGUCUUUGUUACACCUGUGGUCUCUUUAGACCCUUUUUGAGUUAAUGGUUAAUAAAAACCACUUAGAACAACCA